UGAAAGUGGACAAGGAGUGUGACCAUUGA
This 29-nucleotide non-coding RNA is filed under the name Homo sapiens (human). Lineage: Eukaryota; Metazoa; Chordata; Mammalia; Primates; Hominidae. The record is from RNAcentral.